UUUAAAUGUAAAAUUAAUAUACUAAAGUAGUAUUAGUUAUGUUCUUGAAAUUUAAAGAUUUUGGCGGUAUUUUAGUCUGUUUAGAGGAACCUGUUCUAUGAUUGAUAGUCCACGAUUAAUUUUACUUGGUUUAUAUAAAUUUGUAUACCGUCGUUAUAAGAAGAUUUUAAAAGAAUAUAAAUUUUUAAUAUUUUAUAUAAGAAAAUAUAUCAGAUCAAGGUGCAGUUUAUAAUUAAGAAGAAAUGGGUUACAAUAAAUUUAUUUAUUAUACGGAUUGGGAGGAGGUAAUUAUACUCUAUGAAGGUGGAUUUAAUAGUAAUAAAAUUAAUUUAAAUUUUAUGAUUUUAGCUCUAAAAUAUGU
Molecule: ribosomal RNA, 361 nt
Filed under: Carabus skyaphilus skyaphilus
Lineage: Eukaryota; Metazoa; Arthropoda; Insecta; Coleoptera; Carabidae
Description: partial 12S ribosomal RNA
Source: RNAcentral